This 5179-nucleotide unclassified non-coding RNA is filed under the name Hevea brasiliensis (rubber tree). Lineage: Eukaryota; Viridiplantae; Streptophyta; Magnoliopsida; Malpighiales; Euphorbiaceae. The record is from RNAcentral.
GGGUAAGGCCACGAACAGCUGGCCUCAGCCCUGCCAGAGCAAAUGGGAAGUCUCCUCAAGUGCUAUAAGCCCCUCACCUCUUUCCGCUUCUCUCCGCCACCGCACUCUCUGCUACGUUCAAUUCAAUUCCGAACUCACUUUUCUCGCACCUUCUCCGUCUCCAGGAAGCGAACUUUAUGUCGCCUUGUCAGCUCAUAUCGGCCCUUAAUCAACGACAAAGUUAAUGCUGGUGAUGGAGCGGUCACCCCAUCAUUAUCAUCGGCGGAGCUGUGGCUUUACAAUACAAUGAGCAGAAAGAAGGAGCUUUUUAAGCCCAAAGUGGAUGGAAAAGUUGGGAUGUACGUUUGUGGUGUUACCGCUUACGAUCUUAGCCAUAUUGGCCACGCUCGCGUCUACGUCACUUUCGAUGUUCUCUACAGAUAUCUUAGGCAUUUGGGAUUCGAAGUGUGCUAUGUUCGAAAUUUCACUGAUGUUGAUGAUAAGAUAAUUGCCCGAGCCAAUGAAUUGGGAGAGGAUCCAAUCAGUUUGAGCAGACGUUACUGUGAAGAAUUCCAUCAUGAUAUGGUGUAUCUUCACUGCCUGCACCCUUCUGUUGAGCCACGUGUGUCAGAUCACAUGCCCCAAAUAAUUGAAAUGAUCAAGCAGAUUCUUGAUAAUGAGUGUGCCUACAGAAUUGAUGGCGAUGUUUACUUCUCCGUAGACAAAUUUCCUGAAUAUGGACAAUUAUCUGGGCGAAAAUUAGAAGAUAAUAGAGCAGGUGAGCGAGUGGCUGUGGACUCAAGGAAGAAAAAUCCUGCUGAUUUUGCAUUGUGGAAGUCUGCAAAGGAAGGUGAACCUUUUUGGGAGAGUCCAUGGGGGCCUGGAAGACCUGGAUGGCAUAUUGAGUGCAGUGCCAUGAGUGCUGCUUAUCUUGGUCACUCUUUUGACAUUCAUGGUGGGGGAAUGGACCUUGUGUUUCCCCACCAUGAAAAUGAGAUUGCCCAGAGUUGUGCUGCAUGCAGAGAUAGUAGCAUAAGCUACUGGAUACAUAAUGGCUUUGUCACUGUUGACUCUGAGAAAAUGUCCAAAUCACUUGGAAACUUUUUUACGAUUAGGCAGGUUAUAGAUCUUUAUCAUCCACUGGCUUUGAGACUUUUCUUGUUGGGGACCCACUAUCGAUCUCCAAUCAACUACUCUAAUGUACAGCUUGAGAGUGCUUCAGAACGUAUUUUUUACAUAUAUCAGACAUUACAUGAUUGUGAAACUGUCAUCAGCCAGCAUGACAUGGCAUUUGAGAAGGAUUCUGUCCCACCUGAUAUUUUAGAUGGCAUUAAUAGGUUCCAUAAUGUGUUUGUUGCCUCCAUGUCAGAUGAUCUUCACACCCCUGUUUUGUUGGCAGCAUUGUCUGAUCCACUAAAAAUAAUCAAUGAUAUGAUACAUACCAGAAAGGUAACAAGAUUCAGAUACAUUCUCUAUUGUUUUUGUAAAGUAUUAUUACGUGGAGAUGUUGGGUUUACACUCUGGAGGCAGCUCUGCUAGGUUCUUAAAAUGUAGAGAUACCUUGAGCAACAAUCUAAGCGUGUUCGAUUUCUGGAAUCUAAAGUAAAUUCUGUCAAAUACUUCCUUUCACAUUAAUUUAUUCAGUUUCUGUGAUCCUCACUCCCCUUCACUGUCUGCUUCUCUGUCUGUUGAUAUUUGUGUUGCUUAUUAUUUACUGGUGAUUCAUGCAGGGGAAGAAACAGGCAAAGCGAAUUGAAUCACUUGCUGCUCUAGAAAAGAUAGUCAAGAAUGCUCUGUGUGUCUUGGGGUUGAUGCCCACAACAUAUUCUGAGGUUCUGCAGCAAAUGAGGGAAAAGUCACUGAGGCGUGCAAAGUUAACAGAAGACCAAGUAUUGCAAAAAAUUGAAGAAAGAAAUGUAGCAAGGAAGAACAGAGACUAUGAAAAAUCAGAUGCCAUUAGGAAGGAUUUGGCUACUCUGGGAAUUGCUCUUAUGGAUAGUCCAGAUGGCACAAGUUGGAGACCAGCUAUUCCUCUUGCACUGCAAGAGCAGCAAGUUGCUGCAACUUGAAUGUUUUGCUGGGCUUCUCAUUAUGACUUUAUGGUUGUGAUACUUUAUUUUGAUAUUAAAGUAUAUUUUUCUUUGUAUUAAACUUAGGAAAUUAGUUUGGAAUUUGGGAAUUAGGGAUAAUGCUUAUAAACGGGAUUAAAUUGAGAUGGCAAUAAGAUAAACCCUGAAUUUCAUUUACCAUGGGGUAGAUUCUUUGACAACAAUGUAAUGGUACAUUCUUUAAAUGUGCCAUAUAACAGCUAUACAUUUGAAGCUGACUAGUGACUACUGAAAAUUAUUUUCUGAUGAACAUCUAUAAUUUGUCUAGGACGUCCUUAGUCCAGAUGCUUUUAUUUUCCUUUUCUAGUUGUGUUUGGUCGCUGUUAUUCUGAAAAUAUAGUAGAUGGAGGGGAAGAAAGCCUGCUGGAUAAUCAAUUUUGGUUUUGCAUACUUCAAUUUGGAAUCCUGACAUCAAUUUUUAUACGCUAAUGUUUUUUGUUUAAUUAAAAUGGUGCACUAUAUCUUUAAACAAAUCUGGUCUCUCAAUUUUCACACGGCCCAGUGGACAAUUGUGUCGUGGCUUAAGUCAUAGAUGGUUACAGAUCUGGUAGCAUCUUUGCAUAAGUUUGUUUCAUAUAUUAAGCCAUCAUUUGCAAACAUCUUCGAGCUUUAUUAACCUGUUACAGUACUACAUCAUGAAUUCUGACAUCUUUUAGCUAAAGGUAGGAAAGUUUUGCGCAAUUGCUUUGAAUCUCAUUGCUAUACAUGAAGAAGCAGAAUUAAUCAUUUUUUACUCACUUAUACACAGGCAGGAACUGUUAUAUUAGUAAUCUGAGCAAAUACAAUAGAGAAAGGAGCAACAGUUAUUGGAUUGGAGAGGCCAACUCUUAUCGGAUCCAAGGGAGGAAUUGCUCCAGAUGAAUUUACAGUAAGUAUUUUCCCGUUUAAAAGUACACUUUGGCUGUGAAGGUCGCCAUCCUUGGCUGUUAAAUGAUAUUCUUCCCUUGUAUUUUCAUCAAGUUUAGAACCUCUAGUUAUUGUAGCGAAUUUUGCUCUUCGAUUUUGGUAUUCUUGCAGUAUCCAAGUGCCAUUUCUGGCAACAUUUUCAGUAGAAAUGCUGACUUGAACUGUAGUGUUACCAUCUAGGUUGAUCAAGAGCAAUGUGAUGCCUUGCUGUAGUAAUGAAAAUCCAGAGUAUUAGCCUAGCAAAUGUGUAUGCAUUUGUUUGCCGAUUUAAGUUUAAGAAUUUACUCACAGUUGCUUUUGAGCAGUGAGCAUAAGCACGUAUUUUCUUUGUCCCUGAGAAACUUGUGGACAGGGCAUUUUGUCCCAUCAAACGGUGCCACAGAAGAGCACUGAAAAUGUAAACAAAUAAUAUAAUGUUAGCAAUGCACAUGUACUGAUGUACGGAUUAACUUUAAUCAGUGAGGCCUAGAAGGUGGUGACUUAACAUCUCACACGCAAAAGCCCUUAGAUUCAUCAAAGAUUUUCUUGUGUGGAGAUUGGUAAAUGUAUCUUCUGUGGAUUUGGGUAAUCAAGGAUUCUUUAAAUUCCCUUUUUUAGGCUAGACAUAGAUCCACUUGAAAAUAUAACAUUCUUUGAAACUAUUUUUGACAAAGCUCUUUUGUUGUUUUACUCUUUGAUUAUGUUCAAGUAAAAAAUGUUCUUUUUUCUCUUAUUGUUCUCUUCUGUAAGGAAUGGAAUAGGUGAGGAAUUUUGAAGAUCAAGCAUUACCUGUAGUAAUCAGGAUUUGGGACAAAGGUGGUGGUGUUGAGGAGGCCGUAGUUUCCACCAAUCAAUGUCUGUCUACAAUAUGUUUUUGUAUCAUAAGAUGAUGCCAUUCCUAGUUGGUCCAAGUACCAGAAACUGAACACAAAUGCAUUUGUGACAAGAUUAUGGCCACUGUUGUAAGCACCUCCUGCCUCUCCAACCCAAGCAACUGCCCGUGUCCCUGAACCCUUCAAAAUUCCUUGAAGGCUGCUAAACGGCUGAGAGCCGCCAUCUAGAUAAGAUGGAUCUAAGAUCUUGUCAAUGAGAUGAUCAUCAACACCUGGACCAAGGUUAUAGAUGUGUUGGGUGACUACUUGAAGAGAUUUAGGCGUUUUUUCUAUGAAUUUUGUAAACCAAUUCGCAUCAAAGAACCCUCCAGGUGCUAUGACUAGUGGUUUAUCUUCAAAACCUGCAUGAAUGUUUUCCACUAUGUUUUGCAAAGUGGUUACAUCAGAUGCAUAUUGAUCUGCUGCAACUAUAGCUCCAACUCCAUUCCCACUCAGUUCAUUUCCUAGCUCCCAGCCAUGAAUUCUGUAGCCCCUAUUCACAGAGUAUCGAAUAAGAGAUUCGGCAUCACUUGGAUCCCAUGCUCCAACAGCGGAACCAUCAGAAGCUAUGGUCCUGCCCUUUAGUGCAUUUAACCCAAAAAUAACAACAGCACCAGCUUGUUUGAAGAAAGUGUUUAAUUCAUCCCAUCGAGACAUAGAUAAGCAACCUUGGGAGAAACUAAACAUCUCUGAGCUGUUCUUGACAAAUGUAGUGCAAGGUUCACCUUGUCUCUCAUAUAUGACUUUAUCUUGUAAGGUGCCCCCCAUUCUAAUUUUCAGAGGAGAAAAAGCUUUAAUGGCAUUUAGCAAUAUUGGGUUGGUAAGAUCCUGCAAAAAUUUUGAAUAGAAAUCGAAGAAAGGGAUUAGAUGCAUAAAAAAGGAUAUAAUAUCCUGGAAUACGUAUAUGGGAUAUUCUUCACUAUCACCCCUUCUCUUCUCAGGCAGGCUUUUAACAACUUGUUCUCAGAUAACUUAUAUGAGCUCAAUUCUAUGAGACCAUGUGAAACAUCUGCUUGAAUUUGAAAGUUUCAACAUUCAAUAUCAUAUAAAAUAUCUAGUUUCUACUGCUUUGUACAAUCUGCAUAUAAUGUAUGCAUAUUCUUGUGAAUUUGCUUUGUUGAAUAUGAACAAGGAACAUAGGAGAUCGGAGAACUAGACAUGGAACUGUCUAAAUAAGCAAUAUUUGACCAGAACUGGCAAUGAAAAACUCAAGGUAAAUCUUCAAUUUGUAUUUGCCAAAAUCCUGCCUAGGAAUUGGUUAUGCAGAUCAAUUCUGCUAAGUGAGAACUCAAAACAACUAGAAAACUUACCAGAUUAAGAAGGGAAGCUCUGCCC